AUUGAACGCUGGCGGCAGGCCUAACACAUGCAAGUCGAGCGAGCGGCGGACGGGUGAGGAAUGGCUGGGAAACUGCCUGAUGGAGGGGGAUAACUACUGGGAACGGUAGCGAAUACCGCAUCCCAGCAGCGUUGCGCAGAUGGGAUUAGCUGGUAGGUGGGGUAACGGCCCACCUGGGCGACGAUCCCUAGCUGGUCUGAGAGGAUGACCAGCCACACUGGAACUGAGACACGGUCCAGACUCCUACGGGAGGCAGCAGUGGGGAAUAUUGGACAAUGGGCGCAAGCCUGAUGCAGCCAGGCCGCGUGUGUGAAGAAGGCCUUCGGAUUGUAAAGCACUUUCAGCGGGGAGGCGUUACCCGCAGAAGAAGCACCGGCUAACUCCGUGCCAGCAGCCGCGGUAAUAC
This 406-nucleotide ribosomal RNA is filed under the name uncultured bacterium. RNAcentral describes it as "partial 16S ribosomal RNA". It matches the Rfam family "Bacterial small subunit ribosomal RNA", at positions 29 to 526 of the family's 1533-position model. The record is from RNAcentral.